GGUCUAGUAACAAAUAGCCCAAAUGAAAAUCGGCAGACCAUUGUGGUGCCACCUGGUUUGGAGUUAAAAUGCAGUUUUGUUUUUCAUAUCUGGGAUAACAAUAUGAUCGAACGGAACACAUCCAGAUGUUUUAGGCUUGCUGUACUUAGGGUUUUUAGAUAAGUUGGGCCAUUUUUAAAUGGUCUCCUACCUGCUGUAUAAGCUUAAUGCCUGAAACAUAGUAGUCACUCAGGAAAUGGGCGUUGGAUGAAUGGGAGGAAUGGAUGGGCGAUCCCCUGUAUCUAGGAGAAGGAAGGGGAAGUGUUUCAAUGAACUGGAACUUCUUGGGGAAGAAAGAAAGAUGUCACAGAAAUGCAAAUGAUCAGGAAGGAACAUUCCACAUCAGAAAGGAGAAUCUACACACGCGAUGAAAAGGUCAACCUCAGGCUCCAGCUAACCUUGGGGAGCAAAGAUGUGGAGCCCGCCCGGCAUCUGGAGAGAUUCCUGCAGAGCACUUGCAGGCUUCAUGGCUGUGCAGUUUCUUCUAAAACACAUUUGGUCUAGAACUCUGGUUUAAAAGCCUCUUUUUGGGAGGAGGAAUUAAAGCACAAACUCUUAAAUGACUGUACAAAAUGUACAAGAGAUGACAGUGAAGCUGCCGUGGUUGGCGGAUGUGGCGCGCCCGGACAGAGUGGUCAGAAGCCUGGAUGUCCCCUUGUCCUGGCCUCGGGAUGCUGCCAUGGAACCCCAGUGCUCUGAUGGAACAUAACCUAAUUCCACAACAGUUUUAAACCAGUGUUUUCUCUAUCGAGCAUAAGCCUCAGCACCUGAUACCGCUCAGUGUGGAUCCAUGAGCAAAGCAUGAAUCACUAACGCAAUGUGUCUCAUUACAUAGCCUUGUGGCUCCCUAUCCUGGCCAACUCGGCCUUUGCCCUGGACUCCUGACUGGCUUUCUUCAGUGUCAAUUUCUGUUUAUGAAAAAUAAAGCUGUACCAAUA
This is a long non-coding RNA of Myotis lucifugus (little brown bat), 977 nucleotides long. RefSeq lists it as uncharacterized. The transcript is spliced from 2 exons. NCBI's taxonomy places the organism in Eukaryota, Metazoa, Chordata, Mammalia, Chiroptera, Vespertilionidae. The record is from RefSeq and is a predicted model, not a curated record.